RNAcentral lists this long non-coding RNA (221 nucleotides) under Sinocyclocheilus grahami. RNAcentral describes it as "lncRNA (ENSSGRG00000050546.1)". The record is from RNAcentral. Lineage: Eukaryota; Metazoa; Chordata; Actinopteri; Cypriniformes; Cyprinidae.
CAGAGGAGAGCGCAGAGCCGUAAAAUGUCGUAAAGUCAGAUAUAAAACGUGACGCUUUUCUUCCUGUGUCCUUCUCAGCUUCAACCCGCCUGCAAGUGUUCGUGAAGAAGGCUGGCUUAAAACUAGGAGAUUCUGAGGCAUCUCCAUGGUGUUUGAAGUGUGUAGUAACCAACAUAUGCAGUAUGGUUUCGGAUGACAUUAAUGGUCCUCCUGUGAACUGA